RNAcentral lists this ribosomal RNA (397 nucleotides) under uncultured bacterium. RNAcentral's name for it is "bacterial SSU rRNA". It matches the Rfam family "Bacterial small subunit ribosomal RNA", at positions 29 to 422 of the family's 1533-position model. The record is from RNAcentral.
AUUGAACGCUGGCGGCAUGCCUUACACAUGCAAGUCGAACGGCAGCACGGGAGCUUGCUCCUGGUGGCGAGUGGCGAACGGGUGAGUAAUACAUCGGAACGUACCCAGUCGUGGGGGAUAACGUAGCGAAAGUUACGCUAAUACCGCAUACGUCCUGAGGGAGAAAAGCGGGGGGACCGUAAGGCCUCGCGCGAUUGGAGCGGCCGAUGUCGGAUUAGCUAGUUGGUAGGUAAAGGCCUACCAAGGCGACGAUCCGUAGCGGGUCUGAGAGGAUGAUCGCCACACUGGGACUGAGACACGGCCCAGACUCCUACGGGAGGCAGCAGUGGGGAAUUUUGGACAAUGGGCGAAAGCCUGAUCCAGCCAUGCCGCGUGAGUGAAGAAGGCUCGGUGUAAG